RNAcentral lists this ribosomal RNA (253 nucleotides) under uncultured bacterium. RNAcentral's name for it is "partial 16S ribosomal RNA". It matches the Rfam family "Bacterial small subunit ribosomal RNA", at positions 524 to 776 of the family's 1533-position model. The record is from RNAcentral.
UACGGAGGGUGCAAGCGUUAUCCGGAUUCUCUGGGUGUAAAGGGUGCGUAGGUGGGCAGUUAAGUCAGUGGUGAAAUCUCCGGGCUCAACCCGGAAACUGCCAUUGAUACUAUCUGUCUUGAAUAUCGUGGAGGUAAGCGGAAUAUGUCAUGUAGCGGUGAAAUGCUUAGAUAUGACAUAGAACACCAAUUGCGAAGGCAGCUUACUACCCGAAUAUUGACACUGAGGCACGAAAGCGUGGGGAUCAAACAGG